This 499-nucleotide ribosomal RNA is filed under the name uncultured bacterium. Its description in RNAcentral is "bacterial SSU rRNA". It matches the Rfam family "Bacterial small subunit ribosomal RNA", at positions 17 to 509 of the family's 1533-position model. The record is from RNAcentral.
UCCUGGCUCAGGAUGAACGCUAGCUACAGGCUUAACACAUGCAAGUCGAGGGCAUCAUGAGGUUUGCUUGCAGACCUUGAUGGCGACCGGCGCACGGGUGAGUAACGCGUAUCCAACUUCCCCUUAGUAGGGCAUAGCCCGGCGAAAGUCGGAUUAAUACCCUAUGUUCUUCGUCGAUGACAUCUGAAGUGAAGCAAAGGUUUACCGCUAAGGGAUGGGGAUGCGUCUGAUUAGGUAGUAGGCGGGGUAACGGCCCACCUAGCCAUCGAUCAGUAGGGGUUCUGAGAGGAAGGUCCCCCACAUUGGAACUGAGACACGGUCCAAACUCCUACGGGAGGCAGCAGUGAGGAAUAUUGGUCAAUGGGCGCGAGCCUGAACCAGCCAAGUAGCGUGCAGGAUGACGGCCCUAUGGGUUGUAAACUGCUUUUAUCAGGGGAUAAAGUGGGGACGUGUCCCCUUUGCAGGUACCUGAUGAAUAAGGACCGGCUAAUUCCGUGCC